Molecule: long non-coding RNA, 754 nt
Organism: Mytilus trossulus (common blue mussel)
Lineage: Eukaryota; Metazoa; Mollusca; Bivalvia; Mytilida; Mytilidae
Exons: 3
Source: RefSeq, a predicted model, not a curated record
GUUUAUCGUAUAAAUAUGGGUGCACAGUAGAAUGACUAAUAAUGGUUUAACUAUAAUAAACUUUUGAUAUAUCUAAAAAGGGUCAAGAUUGCUAUACGCAAGUCAGCAAAGAUAUUAUUUGUCACGGUACACCUGCUUUAUGUCUACAUAAGACUCAUGAGAUGCAGUCGAAUCAAAGCUAUUGAAGGACUUAUUGAAUAAACUUGCAGAACAUUGAAAUGCCGAAAACCGGGAUAAAGUGUAUGGUGUAAGAGGGCUCAUAUACGAUGAUAAAAUGAGAAACAUUUAAAGACAGUUACACAAAUGAUAGAGAGAAAAAACAGACUGUAAAGAAUAGCAGUGGCAAUUAUAUAACAUAAGUGUUUAUAUGAGUGUCAAAUGCUUCGUUCAGCACAUUGCGUGAUUUCGUGGCGGUUCGUUUUUACUAUUGGUGAAGCGGGAGUGUCCGGAAAGAACAACCAACAUUCGGUUGGAAAACUGACGACCCUAAUCAGAAAAGAUUUGUGUCGAUUUUAAAAACAAGAUAUAUAUUACAGUAUUUGGAUACAAAAUAGCAGAUCAGAGGUAUUAUGGUUUUAACUUUUUUUGACAUUUUUAGGGUUUUUCAUUUACAAACCAUGCUAUCUUUUAGAGCAAACACUAAAGUGCUGAGAUUUCAAUGAAUGUUUAGAAUUACGAAGGGUUCUGAUUGAAAGCAGAAUGAUUUCUGAAAGUGUACUAUUUAUAGAUUCAAAGAAAUUGAUAUAAUAGAAUG